Molecule: ribosomal RNA, 493 nt
Filed under: uncultured bacterium
Lineage: Bacteria
Description: partial 16S ribosomal RNA
Rfam family: Bacterial small subunit ribosomal RNA
Source: RNAcentral
AGUGAACGCUGGCGGUAGGCCUAACACAUGCAAGUCGAACGGCAGCACAGUAAGAGCUUGCUCUUACGGGUGGCGAGUGGCGGACGGGUGAGGAAUACAUCGGAAUCUACUUUUUCGUGGGGGAUAACGUAGGGAAACUUACGCUAAUACCGCAUACGACCUACGGGUGAAAGCAGGGGAUCUUCGGACCUUGCGCGAUUGAAUGAGCCGAUGUCGGAUUAGCUAGUUGGCGGGGUAAAGGCCCACCAAGGCGACGAUCCGUAGCUGGUCUGAGAGGAUAAUCAGCCACACUGGAACUGAGACACGGUCCAGACUCCUACGGGAGGCAGCAGUGGGGAAUAUUGGACAAUGGGCGCAAGCCUGAUCCAGCCAUACCGCGUGGGUGAAGAAGGCCUUCGGGUUGUAAAGCCCUUUUGUUGGGAAAGAAAAGCAGCAGGUUAAUACCCCGCUGUUCUGACGGUACCCAAAGAAUAAGCACCGGCUAACUUCGUGC